GGAAUAUUGGUCAAUGGGCGCAAGCCUGAACCAGCCAUGCCGCGUGAAGGAAUAAGGCCCUAUGGGUCGUAAACUUCUUUUGUGGUGGAGCAAUAAGGUGUACGUGUACACCGAUGAGAGUACAUCACGAAUAAGCAUCGGCUAACUCCGUGCCAGCAGCCGCGGUAAUACGGAGGAUGCAAGCGUUAUCCGGAUUUAUUGGGUUUAAAGGGUGCGUAGGCUGUGGGGAAAGUCAGGGGUGAAAGCCCGGCGCUUAACGCCGGAACUGCCUUUGAUACUUCUCUGCUGGAAUACGGAUGCCGUGGGAGGAAUGAGUAGUGUAGCGGUGAAAUGCAUAGAUAUUACUCAGAACACCGAUUGCGAAGGCAUCUCACGAAUCCGUCAUUGACGCUGAGGCACGAAAGCGUGGGGAUCAAACA
Molecule: ribosomal RNA, 419 nt
Filed under: uncultured bacterium
Lineage: Bacteria
Description: bacterial SSU rRNA
Rfam family: Bacterial small subunit ribosomal RNA
Source: RNAcentral